UGCGUAGGCGGUUUGGUAAGUCAGAUGUGAAAUUCCUGGGCUCAACCGAGGAACUGCAUUUGAUACUGCCAGACUAGAGUACUGGAGAGGAGACUGGAAUUUACGGUGUAGCAGUAAAUGCGUAGAUAUCGUAAGGAAGGCCAGUGGCGAAGGCGAGUCUCUGGACAGUAACUGACGCUGAGGCACGAAGGCCAGGGGAGCAAACG
This 206-nucleotide ribosomal RNA is filed under the name uncultured bacterium. Its description in RNAcentral is "partial 16S ribosomal RNA". It matches the Rfam family "Bacterial small subunit ribosomal RNA", at positions 568 to 774 of the family's 1533-position model. The record is from RNAcentral.